Molecule: ribosomal RNA, 274 nt
Filed under: uncultured bacterium
Lineage: Bacteria
Description: partial 16S ribosomal RNA
Rfam family: Bacterial small subunit ribosomal RNA
Source: RNAcentral
CUACGAAGGUCCCGAGCGUUAUUCGGAAUCACUGGGCGUAAAGAGUAUGUAGGCGGUUUGGUAAGUCAGGUGUGAAAUCCCGGAGCUCAACUUCGGAACUGCAUCCGAUACUGCCAGACUAGAGUAAUGGAGAGGCAGGUGGAAUUCUCGGUGUAGCAGUGAAAUGCGUGGAUAUCGAGAGGAAGACCAAUGGCGAAGGCAGCCUGCUGGACAUUUACUGACGCUGAGAUACGAAGGCUAGGGGAGCGAAAGGGAUUAGAUACCCCAGUAGUCC